This 360-nucleotide ribosomal RNA is filed under the name Ornebius euryxiphus. RNAcentral describes it as "partial 12S ribosomal RNA". The record is from RNAcentral. Lineage: Eukaryota; Metazoa; Arthropoda; Insecta; Orthoptera; Mogoplistidae.
AAUAAAUGUAAAAUGAGAAGAUUUAGGUAGUAAGAGUUAAGGUCUUGAAACUUAAAGAAUUUGGCGGUGUUUUAUUCUAUUCAGAGGAAUCUGUUUUAUAAUUGAUAAUACACGAUUGAAUAAACUUAAAUUAAUAAUUUGUAUAUCGCCGUCAUCAGAUUGUUUUGGUUAGAGGAAUAAAAUUAUUGGAAUAUUUUGUAGAAUAAAAUGUCAGGUCAAGGUGCAGUUUAUAUUUAAGAAUAUAAUGGAUUACAAUAAAUUAGAAUUUGAGUGGAUUGUAAAUGUGAAUAAUUUAUAUGAAAUUGGAUUUGAAAGUAAAUUGAUUUGAAAUUGAUUAAUUGAAGUAGCUCUAAGGCAUGU